AUUGAACGCUGGCGGCAGGCCUAACACAUGCAAGUCGAGCGGAUGAAGGGAGCUUUCUCCUGGAUUCAGCGGCGGACGGGUGAGUAAUGCCUAGGAAUCUGCCUGGUAGUGGGGGAUAACGUCCGGUAACGGGCGCUAAUACCGCAUACGUCCUGAGGGAGAAAGUGGGGGAUCUUCGGACCUCACGCUAUCAGAUGAGCCUAGGUCGGAUUAGCUAGUUGGUGGGGUAAAGGCCUACCAAGGCGACGAUCCGUAACUGGUCUGAGAGGAGGAUCAGUCACACUGGAAAUGAGACACGGUCCAGACUCCUACGGGAGGCAGCAGUGGGAAAUAUUGGACAAUGGGCGAAAGCCUGAUCCAGCCAUGCCGCGUGUGUGAAGAAGGUCUUCGGAUUGUAAAGCACUUUAAGUUGGGAGAAAGGGCAGUAAGUUAAUACCUCGCUGUUUUAACGUUACCAACAGAAUAAGCACCGGCUAACUUCGU
Molecule: ribosomal RNA, 483 nt
Filed under: uncultured bacterium
Lineage: Bacteria
Description: partial 16S ribosomal RNA
Rfam family: Bacterial small subunit ribosomal RNA
Source: RNAcentral